RNAcentral lists this signal recognition particle RNA (299 nucleotides) under Aotus nancymaae (Ma's night monkey). RNAcentral's name for it is "Metazoan signal recognition particle RNA (ENSANAG00000009336.1)". It matches the Rfam family "Metazoan signal recognition particle RNA". Rfam says of the family: The signal recognition particle (SRP) is a universally conserved ribonucleoprotein. It is involved in the co-translational targeting of proteins to membranes. The eukaryotic SRP consists of a 300-nucleotide 7S RNA and six proteins: SRPs 72, 68, 54, 19, 14, and 9. Lineage: Eukaryota; Metazoa; Chordata; Mammalia; Primates; Aotidae. The record is from RNAcentral.
GCUGGGCAUAGUGGCGCGUGCCUGUAGUCACAGCUACUUGGGAGGCUGAGGCUGGAGGAUCACUUGAGUCCAGGAGUUCUGGGCUGUAGCGUGCUAUGCCGAUCGGGUGUCCACACUAAGUUCGACAUCAAUCUGGUGACCUCCUGGGAGCGGGGGACCACCAGGUUGCCUAAGGAGGGGUGAACCGGCCCAGGUCGUAAGCAGAGCAGGUCAAAACUUCCGUGCUGAUCAGUGGUGGUACUGUGCCUGUGAAUAGCCACUGUACUCCAGUCUGGGCAACAUAGCGAGACCCCGUCUCU